CUCAGAUUGAACGCUGGCGGCAGGCCUAACACAUGCAAGUCGAAUGGUAACAGGAACAGCUUGCUGUUUCGCUGACGAGUGGCGGACGGGUGAGUAAUGUCUGGGAAACUGCCUGAUGGAGGGGGAUAACUACUGGAAACGGUAGCUAAUACCGCAUAACGACGCAAGACCAAAGAGGGGGACCUUCGGGCCUCUUGCCAUCAGAUGUGCCCAGAUGGGAUUAGCUAGUAGGUGGGGUAACGGCUCACCUAGGCGACGAUCCCUAGCUGGUCUGAGAGGAUGACCAGCCACACUGGAACUGAGACACGGUCCAGACUCCUACGGGAGGCAGCAGUGGGGAAUAUUGCACAAUGGGCGCAAGCCUGAUGCAGCCAUGCCGCGUGUAUGAAGAAGGCCUUCGGGUUGUAAAGUACUUUCAGCGGGGAGGAAGGGAGUAAAGUUAAUACCUUUGCUCAUUGACGUUACCCGCAGAAGAAGCACCGGCUAACUCCGUG
This 494-nucleotide ribosomal RNA is filed under the name uncultured bacterium. RNAcentral's name for it is "bacterial SSU rRNA". It matches the Rfam family "Bacterial small subunit ribosomal RNA", at positions 23 to 507 of the family's 1533-position model. The record is from RNAcentral.